RNA transcript from Fopius arisanus, 3403 nucleotides. It is a transcript of the gene named ellipsoid body open, with no coding region annotated. The record is from RefSeq and is a predicted model, not a curated record. The transcript is spliced from 4 exons. Lineage: Eukaryota; Metazoa; Arthropoda; Insecta; Hymenoptera; Braconidae.
UUUUGAUGAUUUUGACAUCUGCCAAGACCCAGAUCUAACCUUCCUCCACUUGACCCAGUAUUUUAACUACCAAAUAGUGACUUUAAAUGACUUCGAUUUUGCAUUUUUAUUUCUUUAAUAAUUAAAUAGCCCAGCGGUGGUCCGCAGUUAAAAUGGACGAUGCAGCAGCCCUGCAGAGACUGGAGCACUUGAUGACCGAAUUUUUCUCUUCAAAUGCAACGAACGAACGAAUUCGAACGAUCGAGCAGAGCCUCCACGAGUUCACGUCCCAGAUAAACUCCUGGAGGCCGUGUCUGCACUUCCUGUCAUCGACUAACAAUCAUUUUGUCAGUAUGUUCGCCCUGACGACCCUGGAGACGACGAUCAGCCGACGCUGGCCGAUUCUUCCCUGGGAGGAUCGCGCCCUCAUAAGAUCAACACUCUACACCCUCUCGUUGGAGCACGGAGUUGCUCCAUAUGUUAGGAAUAAAAUUGUCAAGCUCGUGGUGGACAUUGCUAAGCACGACUGGCCCCAUUUUUACCCAGACUUUUACUCCAACAUUCUCCAACUCUUGGGACACAAGCAGACAAGACUCCUGGGGCUCAUCUACCUGAGGACAGCAUCAGAGGAACUUGCAACACCCAGAGACGAUCUGCCCCUUCAAAGGAAGACUGAACUCAUUAGACUGCUCAGUGCUCAGGUGUCAACGACUCUUGAUACUCUCACAGCUCUCUUAACCGAAACUAUCAAGUCCCAAACACGUUCUGGAACAGUAACUCCACCACCGUCGCCAACAGGUGGUCAGAGUGUACCACCAGCUCGAUCACUCCUCGAUGUUGACGGUCUGACGAUAGGAAGUAAUGACAUAUGCAUUGCCACCCUAGAGGUCUUGGGGCACAUGUUCAGUUGGAUCGUUCCCACAGAUCACAUUUCCCCGAAUCUCCUCGACGCGAUAUUUACUUGCGCCAGGUACAAUCACUCCAUGAACUCGAGACAAGUGGAGAUGGUGGUCCAGGCGAUGACGACCAUCAACGAACUCCUGUAUCGUCCCUGCUCCCCCAGCACAACCGAAACUCUUCUCCUGCAGAUUUUUGAUCAUGGAGUGACAUUAUUUCAAAUAAUGGAACGCCUGGACAGCAUUGACGAGAGCUACCUGGAGAAGACAACGGAGUUCCUCCAGCUGUUCGUAACGAAUCACCUGAAGAGGGUGGAGUCAUGUCCAAAAUUUCCAGUUGUAGUUCUCCUGGAGGUGCUGUACCACCACACAUUCCAGCAGAAUACCUCGAUCCCAGGGUACCUGAGGUGCCUCGAGGUGUGGAGCUGUCUCCUGGAGUCGACGCAGUCGAGGUACUCGACGAUUGCCCUGGGAUUCGCUGAGAAGCUCCUCAACAGGAUGUCCUUCAAGGUAGAAGGGAGAAAUCUCAAAGAUCUGGACACAGAGACCCUCGACGAUAACGACGAGACAGAGUGGCAGCACUUCCUCAGGUGCAGUAUUGAGUGCUUGGCGAGGGUCGCCGAUAUCUCACCCCUGCCAGUCUUCAAUCUGCUGUACAGAUCCUGGAGUGCAGACAUAUCGAUUUACGGAGAGCUAGGAUCAGCUGUGUCCCAUGGCCAGGUGACAAUUCUUUCGGAUUCAGAUGCUACCACUGUUCACUCGCACCUCCGAGACCUCGCUUCAACUACUCAGGCACUGGCUCGCCUGUACUCUUUGUUCACCGAUCCCCAGGACACCUCAAAGUCCCCAGUGGAGGACCUAGUGAAUCACACACUUGACGCCUGCACAUUUGCCCAGAACAAUCAUCUGUUUCAUCCACCCCUCCAGCCCCCAGCAAUUGUCCUGGACCUAGUGGAGGUGCACUCGCAAUUCCUGGCGUCGUUGCAGGCCUGGUGCCACUGGAUGGCAAAACAGCCUGAGAAAAUCAGGGAGAGCUUCACCGAGAGAUGCAUUCAGGUGUGCAUCUGGGCGUUAUCACCGUCGCGAUCGCCAGAGCCCUCAAUUCCCCUCAAUCUGGUGCAUUCAGCUGCUCACCUCCUUCAGAGUGUCACAGCAAUACUCAGGCCAAACCUGUGGGAACACCAGGGAUUCAGGGAGCUAAUAGCCUGCCAGAAUUACCCUCCAAUGAGAGUAGAAACCGUGAAAGUCCUGAGACGAGCGCUUGCCAAUGGAAUUGUCCUGGUGGCAGGCGAUGGAGCUGUGAGACACCGUCUUCUUUCAUCAAUGAUAUCAACCCUGUCAUCACCCCUGGGUGGCCUGGGUCACCAGAUCCCCUCAGAUGUCACUAUCAGCACCUCCAUAACACCACUGAAACAACUCCUCGAGGACUGCUGCUCCUCCUCAACGAGCAUUAAAAAAUUGCUCCACGAGUGCCUCCAGGAGACCAUCACCAGAGCCCUGGAGAUUCUUCCCCAUGUGGUGAGGUCUCAAGCCUGUGAGUCCCUUAUGCAUUUUCUCCACUCUGUCUUUCACGUUCUUCAGCAACAAUUGGGAGCUGAAUUUAUCCAGGGUGCUGUCCAGGGUAUGCUCCAGAUAUACAGCGCUGAGAGCAUUAGUGCUGGUCCUGCCCUCGAUCAACUACUCGAGAUUCUCAUUCUCGUGGUGUCGGCACCAUCUCCUGGUUUCAAAGCAUUUGUCCCUGGAAUCACUGGACUUUGUCUUGGACACGUGUGGCCAGCUGUUGGGGGAGAUCUCAGUGCCAAUCCUGAUACAACUCUCGUUCUCCUUCGGUUGUUCCAUGGAAUUCUCAUGCACAGGUGGCAGUAUUUUUAUGGUGCUGGUGUUCUCAGGAGCUUUGGUGCAACUCUGGAGGAGAAUGUCGAGCACAAGGAGGAGCUAGUCGCCAUUCUCGAGGCUUUUGGUCAGGCUCUUCUUCAGUCAGAUGUCAAUAUCUUCAGACAGAGUCUUCAGAGCCUUGAGGCACUCAAUUCCAGGUGGAGGCUCUACCAGAAGGAGAUCUUCAAGAAUCAUCUGCUGGAGAGAUUUCUCGUCGCUCUCUUCACUGUCUUGAUUCACAGAUCACAUAAUCUUCUCGCCGAUGACAUCGCUGUUGCCAUUCACAAUUUAGCUGGGGUCGACAUCAACUGGUUCUUCAGUCACUUCCUGCCGACGUUCCUCGGUGGUUGUGAAGGACUCGAUGAUGUCCAGAGGGCGACUCUCAUGGAGGGAUUUGAUAAAUCAACGGAUCAGCCAACGCUGACGAGGUCAGUCCUCCGUCUGGUAUCAGAUCUCCGGUGCUAUCAGAUGUGCAGGCCCGUGUAAAUAAUCUAGAUAAUUGUAAUUCCAGAGAAAAAACUUCACGUCAUCGACGAAAAUCAAUCAUUCGACACUUCACUGCCGAGUAAUCAUUGAAUCAGUUGUUUUGCUGAAACGAGCGGUCGGGGGAGAGUGAUAAGAAUACCCUCGGAGAUAAGGAGAACUCGAUAACC